RNAcentral lists this ribosomal RNA (334 nucleotides) under uncultured bacterium. RNAcentral describes it as "bacterial SSU rRNA". It matches the Rfam family "Bacterial small subunit ribosomal RNA", at positions 568 to 899 of the family's 1533-position model. The record is from RNAcentral.
CGCGUAGGCGGUUUUCUAAGUGAGAUGUGCAAUCCCCGAGCUUAACUUGGGAACUGCAUCUCAGACUGGGAGGCUAGAGUGCUGGAGAGGGUGGUAGAAUUCCACGUGUAGCGGUGAAAUGCGUAGAGAUGUGGAGGAAUACCAGUGGCGAAGGCGGCCACCUGGACAGUAACUGACGCUGAGGCGCGAAAGUGUGGGUAGCAAACAGGAUUAGAUACCCUGGUAGUCCACGCUGUAAACGAUGAGCACUUGGUGUGGUGGGAGUUGACCCCUGCCGUGCCGUAGCUAACGCGAUAAGUGUUCCGCCGUGGGGAGUACGGUCGCAAGGCUAGAA